AGCACCGCCGCGGUAAUACGGAGGGCGCGAGCGUUGCCCGGAUUUACUGGGCGUAAAGGGCGUGUAGGCGGCCUGGGGCGUCCCAUGUGAAAGGCCACGGCUCAACCGUGGAGGAGCGUGGGAUACGCUCAGGCUAGAGGGUGGGAGAGGGUGGUGGAAUUCCCGGAGUAGCGGUGAAAUGCGCAGAUACCGGGAGGAACGCCGAUGGCGAAGGCAGCCACCUGGUCCACUUCUGACGCUGAGGCGCGAAAGCGUGAGGAGCAAACCGGAUUAGAUACCCGCGUAGUCCCUGUCUCUUAUACA
RNAcentral lists this ribosomal RNA (303 nucleotides) under uncultured bacterium. RNAcentral describes it as "partial 16S ribosomal RNA". It matches the Rfam family "Bacterial small subunit ribosomal RNA", at positions 510 to 808 of the family's 1533-position model. The record is from RNAcentral.